UAUGCCUGUAUGAGAGUGUGUGUGCAUGUAAGAUAUUCUAUGAGAAGCGGGGGAAAUAUUAAGUUAUGAAAGCUUGAAAUACUAUAUUUUAGUGUUGCUGAGUUUUGUUUUGCUUUUAGUAUUAUAGUUAUUGUUUAACCCUAGGUCAAACCCUUAUAAAGCCAACCUAUGAACCGUGGUCAUCCAGACCUCUUUUUUUUCUAUAUAUAUAUAUAUACGACAGUAAGAUAGCAACAACCUGGAGGUAUCUGUUCUGGCUCACUGCACACUGAGUUCAAAUCCCGCCAAAGUCAACUGUGUCGUUCAUUCUUUCUGGGUCAAUAAAGAACCAGUCUAGCAACAAAGAAUGUGUCUUUUCACCAGAUGCCAGAUCAGUGUGGGAUGCCAGAUCAAUAUGGGUGCAGAUCAGUACUCUACCAUCACCAUUUCAAUGACUUACUGGUACUCCAUUGAGAGAUGGGAUGGAUAAACAGUUGUUAACCCUAGCAGGAUUUGAACUCAAAACAUAGAGGGGAUGUGAGCAGGGAUUUAUGAAAGCACUUACCAAUACAAAGAAUCUCAAAGAAUGGCUACAACUUGUUAUAGACAACACAACAAAAGAAAUUAGAAAAAGCAGUGAACCUUCCUGGUCAGAAGAAUCACAGGAGGUCACUUAAAAUGUUAUAUUCUUUUACUGUUGUUUUCAGUCAUUGGACUGCAGCCAUUGGACUGCAGCCAUGCUGGGAUAUUACCUUCAAAAGUUAGCUUGUUGUUUAUCAUAUUUCAUUGAUUUUUAUUUAUUGAAUGACCAAGUAAUAAUACCUUUUUGGCGUGACUGACUGAAAGUCUGAUGCACUGGUAACAUGCACACAUACAUAUAUGAACAGACACAUACACAUAUGUAUAUACAUGUGUGUGUGUACAUAUAUCUUUUAUCUUUCAUUAGACUGUGGCCAUGCUGGGGCACCACCUUGAAGAAUUUUUAAUCAAAUGAAUCAACCACAGUACCUUUUUUUAAAAGCCUGGUACUUAUUCUAUCAAUCACUUUUGCUGAACCACUAAGUUAUGGCAAUAUAAACAAGCCAACACUGGUUGCCAAGCAGUGGUGGGGGACAAAUAAAAACACAUGCACACAAGCACAUAUGCAAGCACGUACACACACACAUAUAUACGAACAUAUGACAGCCUUCUUUCAGUUUCCAUUGACCAAAUCCACUCACAAGGUUUUGGUCAGCAAUGAGGCUAUAGUAAAAGACACUCGCCCAAGAUGUCACACAGUAGGAUUGAACUCAGAACCAUGUGGUUUGGAAGCAAACUUCUUACCGCAUAGCCACCCCUGCAUAUGUAUACACACACACACACAUGUAUACACGUGUUUCUGCACAGUUUUCACCAAGCAAGGUAUCAGUCAAUCUAAUGCAACAGUGGAAGAUACUUAUCCAAGGUUUCACACAGUAGACCCAAGCCUGUAACCAUAUAGUUGUGAAGUAUACUUCUUAACCAUACAGCUAUAAUUUCAUCAUACAUUAAAUGUCUUUGUUGUUGUUUUUUCUCAACAACUCAUCAUUCAAAUAGUUUUGAUCCAAUCUUAUUUGAAAAUUUGGAGAAGACCAAAACUGAUAUUUUAAUAUAACAGUUGAUAACCUUCUUCUACAGAUCAUCGUUUUCAGAUUGUUUGGUAUACACUCCACGGGUGUGGGGUUUUUUUUUUGUUUUGCUUUGUUUGGUUUUGUUUGGUUUUGCUUUGUUUUGUUUUUUGUGAAACAUUUUAAUUCUGUUCUUUGAUCACAUGUGGAACAGAUUAUCAAGUGACAAGAUCACCCACAUCUAUAUAUUCCCCAACAGUAAUAUGAUCAUUUCUUUUAUUGUAUGAUGAAGGAAACUAAAAUUAAACAAACAAACAAAUGAAUAAAUAAAAGAAAAAUAUCUUCUCAAA
Molecule: long non-coding RNA, 1915 nt
Organism: Octopus bimaculoides (California two-spot octopus)
Lineage: Eukaryota; Metazoa; Mollusca; Cephalopoda; Octopoda; Octopodidae
Source: RefSeq, a predicted model, not a curated record